UUGAUUACGAGCACCGCUGUUUCUUUCAGUCAUUCCUUCCUUCAGGCGUGCAUGGGGUGUCUUCAUCUACUGUAGCUGGCCUUUCAGGCUCCAGCCUGGAUGCUGAAGCCACAGCAGAGACCCAAGGGCUGUGGCUUCUAGUUUCUUACAGAACUCUGCACACUGGGUCCAGGUGACCACUCUGGACAUGGUUCUUUCAGAUGUAUUGCCGCAUGCCAGUCAGACAGGUUGUAGAUUUGCUCCGAGACUCAGUUUCCUCUUGUAUAAAAUGAGAAAGGUAUUAUACCUACCUCAGGAGAUUCUUGUGAGAAUGAAGAAAACCAAGGGUGUACAUGGCUAGCAUCAUGCCUGGCUAUUAUCACUAAGGACCAUAGCUUUGUCCUCGAGUGUGUGGUGUACUUGGGGUGAGCAAAUGGCCCAGAGUAUGAACGGCUGCAGCUUCAGCUGGGCUUUCUGGCCCAGGUACUCCAGUAACCCAGGGAACUUAACCAGUGCCCUUCACUAACGUGCCCUGUAUUUAUUUUGUGGGAUAACAGUGUGACACGGUGGUCAUGGGCCCUGGGUGGGUAUGACACUUACUAGCGGUAGGACUUGAGGCAAAUCACUUGGCCUCUGUGAUUCAGCUCCCCCAGAUGAAAAAUAGGUCCAGUAACACUUCCUGCAUGAAGUGAUUAUGAGCUGACAUGUGAAAAACUCUUAGAAUGGUCUCUGGUAUGCAGUGAGUACUCAGAAUUAUGAGCUAUUAUGAUUAUUACUGUUAUUGUCCUAGGCGAUUUGCUAAAUAUUCUCUGAUGACAAAUAUAAAGGUUUGCGUGGAUCCAUUGGGUGGUCUUGACCAGUAGUCAGCUCUGUGGACUCUGUCUCCUUGCAGGUUGACCUGAGAGCUGCCACCCUCUCCCAACUUCCCCUGUCCUUGGGAUGUACCUUCCGCCCAUGGCCCCACAGGGGAGCCAGUUUCAAGGACACAGCCUUGAGAGAGAGUAAGGUAUGAGGAUCAUCUGGACGGUAUAUGUGACCGAAGCCAGUUAAGGCCUCUGUUUAAACUUGGAAGAUUCUGGCAGGUGGGUGGGGAGAUGCCCUCGACUGUGGUGCCCCAGACCAGCCUCAUGUGUAAGUUCCCUGGCUUGUCACACCUGCCUCCUCCCCACCUGGAGUGGCUGCCUCUUUCCUUGGUCUUUGUCUGCCCUCUGUGUAUAGGGUUAGUUUUUGAAGCAGGGAGACAGGCCUGGGACCCUUUGCUGCAGUGUUUGCACCUGGUCGGGCUUCCCAGGUGGCGCCAGUGGUAACGAAUCUGCCUACAAAUGCAGGAGACGUGGGUUUGGUCCCUGGGUCAGGAAGAUCACCUCGAGGAGGAAAUGGCAGCCCACUGCAGUAUUCUUGCCUGAGAUAGCCCAUGGACAGAGCGCCUGGAGGGCUACAGCGCACGGGGUUGGAAAGAGUCGACACGACUGAGCGCACUUGCACAUUUGUACCUGGCCACACCUGUCCUCCAGCAUCAAAAUACAAAGAAACUAUAUGGGGCUAAAAAUAACUGUGUUGCACAUGCAGUUAGGGCAAAUUCUGGAUGAAAGAUACAAAGAGACUGAAAAACCCAACCGCCUCUUUGGAAGAGCCUGGAGCAAAAGCAGAAGGCUAGAUGGAACUUUGCACAUGGCUGGGUGAGCAUUCCAUAAAAAAGGAGCAAAAAAACACCCAAGGACUCCUGAGGCCCAGGCUUGGAAUGGGAACAAUGUCAAUUCUACCACACUUAAUUGGCCAAAGCAAUUCCCAAGGUCAGCCUCAAGGACAAAGAAAUACUCUCCACCUCUGGAAGGAAGAUGCUGCACAAUCAUCACACUGAAAAGAGCACAACGUGUGUGUUCUUAGUUCCCUGACCAGGGAUCGAACUUGGGAGUCCUGCAGUGAGAGCACCAAAUUCCAACCAGUGGAUGGCCAU
This is a long non-coding RNA of Bubalus bubalis (water buffalo), 1936 nucleotides long. RefSeq lists it as uncharacterized. The transcript is spliced from 3 exons. The record is from RefSeq and is a predicted model, not a curated record. Lineage: Eukaryota; Metazoa; Chordata; Mammalia; Artiodactyla; Bovidae.